CCUACGGGAGGCAGCAGUGGGGAAUAUUGGACAAUGGGCGAAAGCCUGAUCCAGCCAUGCCGCAUGAGUGAAGAAGGCCUUUGGGUUGUAAAGCUCUUUUAGUGAGGAAGAUAAUGACGGUACUCACAGAAGAAGUCCUGGCUAACUCCGUGCCAGCAGCCGCGGUAAUACGGAGAGGGCUAGCGUUAUUCGGAAUUAUUGGGCGUAAAGGGCGCGUAGGCUGGUUAGUAAGUUAAAAGUGAAAUCCCGAGGCUUACCUUGGAACUGCUUUUAAAACUGCUAACCUAGAGAUUGAAAGAGGAUAGAGGAAUUCCUAGUGUAGAGGUGAAAUUCGUAAAUAUUAGGAGGAACACCAGUGGCGAAGGCGUCUAUCUGGCUCAAAUCUGACGCUGANGCGCGAA
This 401-nucleotide ribosomal RNA is filed under the name uncultured Wolbachia sp. Its description in RNAcentral is "bacterial SSU rRNA". It matches the Rfam family "Bacterial small subunit ribosomal RNA", at positions 338 to 757 of the family's 1533-position model. Lineage: Bacteria; Pseudomonadati; Pseudomonadota; Alphaproteobacteria; Rickettsiales; Anaplasmataceae. The record is from RNAcentral.